RNAcentral lists this small RNA (35 nucleotides) under Arabidopsis thaliana (thale cress). RNAcentral's name for it is "ATSL076490". Lineage: Eukaryota; Viridiplantae; Streptophyta; Magnoliopsida; Brassicales; Brassicaceae. The record is from RNAcentral.
AGAGAACUGAGGGUAGAAUUAAAACCAAAAAAAAA